Long non-coding RNA from Drosophila persimilis, 505 nucleotides. RefSeq lists it as uncharacterized. The transcript is spliced from 2 exons. Lineage: Eukaryota; Metazoa; Arthropoda; Insecta; Diptera; Drosophilidae. The record is from RefSeq and is a predicted model, not a curated record.
GAGUUCUAAGGGAUGUGCUCCUGGCUGGACUGUGGCAGGCACUGUCUGUCCUCCUGCGGGCCAAAGCCAUGAUGCCACUACUGUGUCGCUGAAUCGACAAUGUGGCGUCCCGUCCGCUGCAGCAGGGACCACUGAUCGACGGCAGAAUUGAGGGUUCACGCCCACGGUAAUCAAACGCUGGUCUUCAGCCUCGAGGCGCAGGGCUUAUGUACCCUAUCCAAGCAUUACCGAAUCGUAUCCCAGCAGGACAAAAGCGCACCCCUUGCAAGAGCCCAAAUCUAACAAGCCGACGUCACAUUUCGACCUGGCCAUUGAAAACUAUCUCAAGGACUUUGGCUAUGGCAACCAAGGAUACGCGGACUAUCAGACUAUAGAUAGAUCUCGUUGUUAAUAGGUUUAAGGAUACACACGUCUGUACAUUUAGAUAGUAGAUAUAAAUAUUUCCAAAUUGUUAAUUUCUUUAUAGUAAGUUAACGUUAUGAUGAAUAAAACUAUUGAAAAAUUA